AUCACUUUCAGGAUCGAAGUGCUGCAACAAAUGUACAUGAGACUGACCCUGUUGUUGUAGCUGGCUGCUCCCAAACACAGUUGAACAGUGAGUCUCAGAAGUCCAGUCCUACAGUCAUGAGAGUGCAAAACAGGCCCACAAGUGGAGAGAAGACAGAGAGACAGCAGCUAGAUACAAAGCAGCUGUACAGAUGUUCAGACUUCAAGAAGGACGACUAUUAUGCUGUGUAUUAUGACCGUGCCUAU
Long non-coding RNA from Sinocyclocheilus rhinocerous, 245 nucleotides. RefSeq lists it as uncharacterized. NCBI's taxonomy places the organism in Eukaryota, Metazoa, Chordata, Actinopteri, Cypriniformes, Cyprinidae. The transcript has 3 exons. The record is from RefSeq and is a predicted model, not a curated record.